This 253-nucleotide ribosomal RNA is filed under the name uncultured bacterium. RNAcentral describes it as "partial 16S ribosomal RNA". It matches the Rfam family "Bacterial small subunit ribosomal RNA", at positions 524 to 776 of the family's 1533-position model. The record is from RNAcentral.
UACGUAGGGGCCAAGCGUUGUCCGGAUUUACUGGGCGUAAAGAGCGUGUAGGCGGCCAAGCAGGUCCGUUGUGAAAACUGGAGGCUUAACCUCCAGACGUCGACGGAAACCGCGUGGCUAGAGUCCGGAAGAGGAGAGUGGAAUUCCUGGUGUAGCGGUGAAAUGCGCAGAUAUCAGGAAGAACACCAAUGGCGAAGGCAGCUCUCUGGGACGGUACUGACGCUGAGACGCGAAAGCGUGGGGAGCGAACAGG